UUGAAUCUGAUUACAUAUGCCAUCCUCUACUUUUUUUUUUUAAGUUUUUUUGCUUGUUUGUUUUAAGUUAUUUUAUCUAUUUCUUUUUGGCUGCGUUGGGUCUUUGUUGCUGUAUGCGGGCUUUCUCUAGUUGCGGUGAGCGGGGGCUGCUCUUUGUUUUGGCGCGUGGGCUUCUCAUCGUGGUGGCUUCUCUUGUUGCGGAGCACGGACUCUAGAUGCGUGGGCUUCAGUAGUUGUGGUGCACGGGCUUAGUUGCUCUGUUGCAUGUGGGAUCUUCCUGGACCAGGGCUCGAACCCGUGUCUGCUGCAUUAGCAGGCGGAUUCUUAACCACUGCACCACCAGGGAAGCCCCAUCCUCUACUUUAAAAAAAAAUUAUAUACAUAAAAUUAUUCAAGCUCCUUAUAGUAAGUCACAACUCAGAAGAGCAGAUGUCAAAUGCUUUUCUUAUUUAGAGGAAAUAUUUUGCUGAAGGCAGUUGUAUUGCUUUAAGGCCACCUGUUAGCUUUUGGAUGAAACAGACAAAAGAGCCAAGUCAGUACAAAGCACUGGGGUCAGUGACAUUUACAGGAAACACCAAGCACAGAGGCUAACACCGAGACAAAAGAUUGUGUGUGCUGAGCCCAUCACUACCGAGGGCAGAGGCAGUGGCUAGGCGAGCUGGUUCCUAGUUAGGCUACUCCUGUGUGAAAGGUAAUAGCAGAAUUUCAUGUGCCCUGCAUUGAGAAAUCGAACGUACUGAGAUUAUAUACAGCUCAAGAACAAAAGUCACAUCUAAGAAACAUCUAAGAUAUUCCAGUGUGGUGUUCAAAUAUCUAAGACAAUACCAAAUGCGGAUAGUUACAGUCUUGCAUCCUUAGGGAUGGUUUUUCAUGGUCCCUAAGCCAGUGAUAUUUUAGGGGGAGGCAUACGGAAGUCCACUGGAGCACUCUUUGUAAUUGCAGAGUUGGCAACAACAGAAGGUUCAUCAGCAGAGGAACAGCUGAACAAAUUAUGGACAUCCACGCGAUAGGACUUUGUAUCAUUUAAAAGGGAAAAGAACAGGAUUCUGUCCUGCAGACGUGAUGGUGAGAGGCUCUGAUGUGUGGAGAGCUUCUCUGUUUCUCAGAACAGCUCCUGGCCCCCCACUGGGCUCUCACGUACAAGCUGGCCUGAUGCGGGGAUGGCAGUACCACCCACGGAGCCAGACACUGCUUUCUACUUUAUUCAACAUUAAUGCACAAGCACAAGUGGACUGACUUACUGUGGGGAGAACUAAAGGGCACCUAGGAGGAGAGAGGGACCUUCGGGGCGAGAACCACACAACAGAGACCCAUCUUCACAAAAACGGCUCAAUGUUGAUUUCCACGCAGGAGCAGGGCAUGGUCAGCUCGAAUUUGGUGAUAACAUCAGGAUGAAGGACCCCCAGCUUCCCGAUGCUCUGACCCCGGGCAAAGAUCUCAGCACAUCGCCCGGGGAAGAAUGCAGGGCCUGAAAAACAGGGAGAGAAAGAUCAACGUUUCUCCUGGAAAAAAUGUCAAGACAUUUAACAUUGAAAGCUCACUAGUCUACUUUGAAAAAUAACUAUUCUUCUUUAAACCACUGGCCAUGAAAUAAGAGUGCUCCCUCACACUUUCUGGUCUUAAAAAGAAGCAUUUGAGACAGCUAGUGGGAAGCAGCGGCAUAGCACAGGGAGAUCAGCUCGGUGCUUGUGACCACCUAGAGGGGUGAGAUAAGGAGGGAGGGAGACGCAAGAGGGAAGAGAUAUGGGGCUAUAUUCACUUUGUUAUAAAGCAAGAAACUAACACACCAUUGUAAAGCAAUUAUACUCCAAUAAAGAUGUUGAAAAAAAGAAGCAUUUUAUAAGGAAAGAAAAGGUUAGGGGCAAAUAUGAAAAUCAGGGCCCUGUGUUUUUUAUCACAGCGGUCCAGGAAGGAUGAAGAAAAGGAGGCUGAAGGAGCAGGGGUGGGAGAAGACUUGGGAAGUAUGCAGACGUGGAACUGCUCUACAGAGGACAAAGGGAAAAAUGAAAUGUAAAACCAACGACUUUGCCUGGGAAGAACCUGUUUUGAAACAGGUUUUUCCAUAGUAAUACUUGCUGGAUUAAAGCCUACACUGAAUUCAUGUACUAUUCAAAACAUCACUCUUUUCUACCUCAUUCCAUAGAGAAACGCGAGCUGCACUGUCAUCGGCAGGCGUAGGCCUUGUACCAGAAUGUGACCCACAUUCCUGUGGGAAAGAGAACUUCCUAAGCAGUUCUGGCACAUCUACUGUAAACCUGCAGCAGAGGCUAGCCCCAGAGCAAGGCUGGGUUGGCCUCUGAUCUACUCAAGACAGGCAGAAGCUUCCCUCCCCAUCUGGGUGCCAAGGCAUGGCUAUGGCUUACUAACCCAGUAACAGUUCUUGAGGUUUAAACAGCUAAAAACAAGCGAGCAGACAAACGUACAGGCCCACUGCAGAGUCACUAAGUUACCAGUGCCACAGGGACGCAUCAACGCUCCAUACUCCACUGAGGUUAACGCCAAUGCUGACUCACUUCUCUCAUCACCAACUUGUAAAGGGAUUAGGUCCGCAGCUCCUGACUGAUUCACCCAAAACAUCUACUGGCAUCAACUAUAAAAUGCCGAGCCACAAGCCUCCAGCCCGCCAUUUCAGAGUGAGUGCGUUAUUUAUGAAAGAGUAAACUUCUGAGUCUCUACUAAUGGUUCCAAGGUCAGCAUAAGGAAGAAACACAGAACUGUGUGUGUGUGUGU
Long non-coding RNA from Orcinus orca (killer whale), 2730 nucleotides. RefSeq lists it as uncharacterized. The transcript is spliced from 2 exons. The record is from RefSeq and is a predicted model, not a curated record. NCBI's taxonomy places the organism in Eukaryota, Metazoa, Chordata, Mammalia, Artiodactyla, Delphinidae.